AUAAAAAGUAAUGAUUAAUAUUUUAUAUUUUACAAAAUGCAUAGGUAAUAUAUUAUUUCAUAAUAAUAAUAAACAAAAAAGUGUAUAUUUUGUUUAUGUUGUGGAGUAUAAUUAAAUAAUAUUAUGUAGGUACCAUAUGUAUCAAGCCCAGAUUAAUAAUGAAGAUAAGGCCACGCCUACCACAAGCCACAAGACUCCAGUGGCCUCAGACUUUACCCUAGUAUAAUUAUAUUCUUUAUCCGUG
Molecule: non-coding RNA, 244 nt
Organism: Cinara cedri
Lineage: Eukaryota; Metazoa; Arthropoda; Insecta; Hemiptera; Aphididae
Source: the annotation of a GenBank genome assembly